Molecule: ribosomal RNA, 259 nt
Filed under: uncultured bacterium
Lineage: Bacteria
Description: partial 16S ribosomal RNA
Source: RNAcentral
GGACUACAGGGGUAUCUAAUCCUUCUCGUUACCCUAGGCUUCGUCCCUCAACGUCAGUUUUUAUAUAGAAAAAUGCCUUCGCUGUUACCUGUCUUUCUAGUAUCAAAAAAUAUUGACUCUCCUCCAGAAAUUCAUUUUUCUCCUAUAAAACUCUAGAAGAUUAGUUCCUAUUAUGGCUUAAUCUUCUGUCUAGGUACCCUUUAAACCUAUUAAAGAUGAAUAACACUAGUCUUCUACGUGUUACCGCGGCGGCUGGCAC